Molecule: unclassified non-coding RNA, 4539 nt
Organism: Apis florea (little honeybee)
Lineage: Eukaryota; Metazoa; Arthropoda; Insecta; Hymenoptera; Apidae
Source: RefSeq, a predicted model, not a curated record
CACAAUCGAUAUUUAAUAAAGAAAAGAAGAAUGACGUUUGAAUAAGACGGAAAAAGGAAAAGAUGAAAAUCAGAAAAAGAAAGCGAGUCGAAAAAAAAAUGGAAGGGACGAAAAAAGGAGCGAUGACUCACGAAGAAGUGAAAGGUUGGUUUGUUUGUAUUGUAACAUACGUCUGUCUGUUUCUUCGUGUUUGAACCUAUGGUCUUUAUUGAAAUCGAAAGGCAUCCCUCUCCUCUGAGAAUUCUGAAUCUGAAGCGGUGGAUCUCUCAGGAUUCGUCGAUAUCAACCGAUUUUCGUUCGUUAGUUUGGGUCUAUCCGCCGAUCGAUUCGUUUACCGUGUUGUAAACACUGUGAUCGUACGAAUAAUCUGUUUUCUUUUCUUGAAUUAAUAAAAAUAUUAAUUAAUUCAACAUCGAAUAACGAUUAAUUAAUUAAAAUUUUACACUCUUUUAGAUGCUGAGGAUUUUUCCACGAAGUGUUGUUAAUAAGGAAAUUUCUAUUACGGAUAUGUAGAACGGCAGGAAGAAUAAACAAGUUUAAGUGGAACAAUAUUUGAUUCAUUAAUUUUCUUCCGAAAUAUUAAGAAUUCGAUGAAAAUAUUUGAAGUGACUAUUUUUUUCGUACAAUUAAAAUGAACUUUUUGUGAAUUGUUAUAGCGAUAUUAGUUUCUUUUUCUUUUUGAUGAUCGAAGGAGUUAUUUAUUAUUGAUAAUAGGAGUUUUGAGAAAGAUCAAAAAAAAAAAAAAUGGAAAAUGAAGUUAGCUGUAUGGAAAAAGAGUGUUUGAUCGAAAGAAGAAGAGCGACUACGUUGGAAGAAUGUUCUCAUAUAAUUGGGCUGAAUGGCGUGGCUCGUUACAACAGAGAAGCGUUUAAACAACUUUUGCAAGAUUCGACGUUAAUGGACAAAUUGUUCUCGUUAUUCGAUCGAAAUGGAGACAGAAUAUUGACGCAAGAUGAAUGGAUCGAAUUUUUAAAGGGGAGAUUGAAAAAUGAAAAAUCAAAUGAUCUCAUCGUUCAAUUCGAGAACGUUGCAUAUUCCAUAUGCUGUGAUAAUCCAGUAACUUUUGAAAAAUUUCAACAAAUAUUUUCCACCAAAGAGAUCGUAGAUAAAUUAUUUCGACGAAUCGAUGAAGAAAAUUUGGGGUACAUCACAUCCUUUCAAAUCAUGGAAUUCCUUUCGAACAUCAGCGAUACAAGGCCGCUCGCUGGAUUCGACAAGCGAAGUCUGGAAUGGCUGGAAAAGAUCUUCAAACAGACGGUGGGCAAUGAGAAGGAAAUUAGACGCGAAGAAUUCAACAAAAUCGUCACUUCGAAGAACCCGUUCUUCACCGACAGAGUGUUCCAAAUUUUCGACAAGGAUAAUUCUGGAACCAUAUCUCUUCAGGAGUUCGUCGAUGCUAUGCACCAGUUUGCAGGAAAAAGUCCUGACGACAAGAUAAAAUUCCUGUUCAAGGUUUACGACAUUGAUGGCGAUGGAUUGAUACAGCUUCGCGAGUUGGAACACGUGAUGAGAGCUUGUUUGGAGGAAAAUGGAAUACGAUUUAGCGAGGAACAAAUCGAGGAAUUAACCAUGGCUUUGUUCGAUGAUGCCGAUCAGUCUAACCGAGGCGCCAUUACUUUCGAAGCUUUGAAGAAACAGUUAGAGAAACACGAAGGACUUUUAGAGAAUCUUUCAAUCAGUAUCGAUCGAUGGCUAGUACCACCAAAACCAGAAUCGAAGAGGAAAUCACGCUUGCAAUUCCUCGCUUCGUUGCGUCCUUAUCAAUUGACGAAGCCGUACAUAAAGAACAAUUACGUUUACAUCGUUUUCAUCUCGAUCUUUGUCCUGAUCAACGUGUCUUUAUUCGUGUCGAGACUCUACGAGUACAGAAAGUCCAAUGGCUAUGUUAUGCUUGCUCGUGCAUGUGGCCAGUGCUUGAAUUUCAACUGCAGCUUCAUCCUGGUUCUUAUGCUGCGUCAGUGCAUCACCUUUCUACGAACUCACGGUUUCAAUUCUGUAUUGCCACUGGAUCAACACAUUUAUCUGCACAAAGUGACUGGAGGUUUAAUCGGUGUCUUCAGCAUAGCUCACACGUUGAUGCAUCUUCUUAAUUUUGGUACCGUUGUUAUCCAUGACGAAAUUCUCAAUCACAAUAACUAUACAUUAUCCGAAUGGUUAUUGACGAGUCGACCUGCUCUGUUUGGUCUCGUAGAAGGCUAUGCAAACCCGACUGGAUUCAUUCUUGUCAUCCUUUUCCUCGUAAUAAUGAUUUGUUCGAUGCCGUUUGUUCGACGUGGUGGAUGUUUCGAGAUAUUUUACUGGUCCCAUUUGUUAUACGUACCAUACUGGAUAUUGGUCAUAUUACACGCGCCGAAUUUUUGGAAAUGGUUCAUAGGGCCAGGCACAAUAUAUUUGUUGGAAAGAAUACAUAGAAUUGCCUGGUCUCGUUCGCAAUUAGGAAAAACGUACAUAAGCUCAGGUCUUCUUCUACCGUCGAAAGUCACGCAUUUGGUCAUCAAGAGGCCCCCACAUUUCGUUUUUCAUCCCGGUGAUUACGUCUUCGUGAAUAUUCCUGUUAUAGCCCGUUACGAAUGGCAUCCAUUCACUAUUAGCAGCGCUCCAGAACAAGAAGACUAUAUAUGGCUUCACAUUCGAGCAGUGGGCGAAUGGACCAAUAGUCUUUACUCAUAUUUUGAAAAGGAGCAGAUGAAACUUCAAAGGGAUAAUAUAUUUCCAAUUGAGAAUCGCAAUAAUGCGAACGUUUCUGAGUUAGUCUCCAUGAAUGGAAAAGUGAACGAGAAAUUUCUUUCACCCAUUCAUCGUAGCUUUGAUAAUCCCGUGUUUGCUUCUGAUGAUGAAAAAAUAACACAAUCGCCUCAGUCUGCAAUUGGUAUAACGGAUGUUAAAAAAAUGUCGAACAAUCGGAAGCUUCAUCAUUCACUGCUCGUUAGCAAGAUGCCUUUGGAGAAAUCUGUAUCCGUACCUGACAUGCUACCAGGAAAAAAGAAAAAUGAUCGAUUAAUUGCACUUCGUGAUUAUACAAGAUCAGAAUCAGAGAGAAAUUUCAACGAACGUCAAAUACGCGAUGCACGUUUGAAAUCCUUAAACGAGGUCUAUUCAAGCCCUCAGAAUAAAGGAUUGGCGCAAAGCUUUCGAUACAUGAGGAACAAACCCACUAUAAUUGCUUUCAAGACUCCAAGCUUGGAAAAGUAUGAAUUGGAAUCAGGCGACAAAAAUACAAUACAAGAAUACAGAAGAAAACAAUCCAAUAAUUUAAGCAGGAUUCAAUCGGCAGCAGAGGAGGGUAGAUUGCAAAUAAAAUUCGAAGAAAGUUCAAAAAGGAACGAUAUCGAGUUUGAUUCAAUUUCUCAUUCAUUGAACUAUACUGUUGGAAAACCAUUGGAGAUUUUCUUGGAUGGACCAUACGGAGCUCCUUCAAGCCACAUAUUCCAAGCUCAACACGCAGUUUUAAUUGCAACUGGAAUCGGAGUCACACCUUUUGCUUCCAUAUUACAAUCUAUCAUGCAUCGUUAUUGGAAAGCCAGGCACACUUGUCCAAAAUGCAAAUUUUCGUGGGCUAGUGAAAUUCCUCCUACUGUGAUGCAUCUUCGAAAGGUUGAUUCUUUUGGAUCAACAGAGAUCAACGAUCCUUCGAGUGGUUUGUAAAUUUAUUAUCUCAAUUGGAAAUGGAACAAGCAGAAUUAGGUGACGCCAUGGAACGUUUUCUUGAGAUGCAUAUGUAUAUUACCAGUGCUUUACAAAAAAGUGAUAUGAAAGCUGUAACAUUGCAAUUGGCUAUGGAUUUGGUUCAUCAAAUGGAAAAACGGGAUCUUAUAACAGGUUUGAAGACACGGACGAAUGCUGGCCGACCAAAUUGGGAUAAGGUGUUCAAACAUCUUCAGGAUCAGAAGAAAGGCAAAGUGACGAUCUUUUAUUGUGGCCCACCACAAUUGGCAAGAAUUUUACGUUACAAGUGUGAUCAGUUUGGAUUCAAUUUCAGAAAGGAAUCAUUUUAAAUUUUCUCAAGAAAGGAAUUAUAUCACUAUGAUAUUUUAUUACACCGUAUUGUUGCGAGAUAUUCUUAUAAAAUUCAUCCAUUAUCGUUUUUUUAAGAAUAAUGAUAUAUAUCUUAAUUUUGUAUUGUAUAAUCAAUAAUAUUUAAUUUUGUUUUAUCUAAAAUCAGGAUUUUUUUUUUUUUUUUUAAUUAUUAUACCAAUACUUCAUUUCAUGUUGUUCAAGAUUCUAGCAGUUUCGUGCAUCAACCAAAUUGUCAUUAAUAUCAGCAGAAAAUUUAUCUGUCGUUCCGUCAUUACCAGAAAAUUUAACAAAAUGCCAUUUGACAUUUGAACGAAACAAAAUAACGAUCGUCAAAUUAUUUCCCCAAAUUUAUAGUUACCUUUAAAUAUUUUAAUAACUCCAAAUAUGUAGAAAUUUUGUACAGUAUUUGCAUAAGCUACGUUUUAUGUAGCGUAUAUUUUGAAUAUUUUAAUUUCGCAGAAUUAAUCUUUUCCAAAAUGCCGCGAAUGAAACAUACGUAGACGAAGAGAGCAAAUAGUGAGA